GGCAGCAUGGCCGAGUGGUCUAAGGCGCUACGUUUAGGACAAGUGAGCUCAGCUCCGCAUCCUCCGUAGUCUUCACGGGCGCGAGUUCGAAUCUCGCUGCUGUCA
Sporormia fimetaria CBS 119925 is the source of this 105-nucleotide non-coding RNA. The record is from the annotation of a GenBank genome assembly. NCBI's taxonomy places the organism in Eukaryota, Fungi, Ascomycota, Dothideomycetes, Pleosporales, Sporormiaceae.